RNAcentral lists this ribosomal RNA (638 nucleotides) under uncultured bacterium. RNAcentral's name for it is "bacterial SSU rRNA". It matches the Rfam family "Bacterial small subunit ribosomal RNA", at positions 379 to 1010 of the family's 1533-position model. The record is from RNAcentral.
CACCUGUAUCCAUCAAUGCCGCGUGUGUGAAGAAGGCCUUCGGGUUGUAAAGCACUUUUGUCAGGAACGAAACGGCGGGGGCUAAUAUCCUCUGCUAAUGACGGUACCUGAAGAAUAAGCACCGGCUAACUACGUGCCAGCAGCCGCGGUAAUACGUAGGGUGCGAGCGUUAAUCGGAAUUACUGGGCGUAAAGCGUGCGCAGGCGGUUGUGCAAGACAGAUGUGAAAUCCCCGGGCUUAACCUGGGAAUUGCAUUUGUGACUGCACGGCUAGAGUGUGUCAGAGGGGGGUAGAAUUCCACGUGUAGCAGUGAAAUGCGUAGAUAUGUGGAGGAAUACCGAUGGCGAAGGCAGCCCCCUGGGAUAACACUGACGCUCAUGCACGAAAGCGUGGGGAGCAAACAGGAUUAGAUACCCUGGUAGUCCACGCCCUAAACGAUGUCUACUAGUUGUCGGGUCUUAAUUGACUUGGUAACGCAGCUAACGCGUGAAGUAGACCGCCUGGGGAGUACGGUCGCAAGAUUAAAACUCAAAGGAAUUGACGGGGACCCGCACAAGCGGUGGAUGAUGUGGAUUAAUUCGAUGCAACGCGAAAAACCUUACCUACCCUUGACAUGUACGGAACCCUGCUGAGAGGUG